This 238-nucleotide ribosomal RNA is filed under the name Tarsius lariang (Lariang tarsier). RNAcentral describes it as "partial 12S ribosomal RNA". The record is from RNAcentral. Lineage: Eukaryota; Metazoa; Chordata; Mammalia; Primates; Tarsiidae.
CCCUAAAAAGGCCUUAAAGUAAGCAUAAGUAUAUACAUAAAAACGUUAGGUCAAGGUGUAACCYAUGGGGUGGAAAGYAAUGGGCUACAUUUUCUACUUUAGAAUACYACGGAYAUUCCUAUGAAAACAAGAAUUAAAGGAGGAUUUAGCAGUAAACUAAGAAUAGAGAGCUUAGUUGAAAAAGGCCAUGAAGCACGCACACACCGCCCGUCACCCUCCUCAAAUGCAACUUAACAAC